GAGUCCAUAUUGACGAAAAGGUUUGGCACCUCGAUGUCGGCUUAUCGCAUCCUGAAGCAGUAGUAUGUUUUAAGGGUAAGUCUGUUCGCCUAUUAAAGCGAUACGUGAGCUGGGUUCAGAACGUCGUGAGACAGUUCGGUCCAUAUCUAAUAUAAGUGUUAGAAUAUUGAAAUUAUUUUUUUUAGUACGAGAGGAUCAAAAAAAUUAUACCACUAAUAUAUCAAUUAUUAUUUGUUGUAAUGUUGAGUAGUUAAGUAUAAAAUUUUAAUUGUUGAAAGAAUAUAAAUAAGAAAAUUUAAUUAAAAAUAAUAUUCUAAUCAAUUUAAAGAAUAAAACAAUAAUUAGAAAAAUUAUUUUAUAGGUUUAAUAUAUAUUUAUAGUAAUAUAUUUAGUAUAUAAUUCCUAAUAAGUUGAAUAUUUAAUUAU
Molecule: non-coding RNA, 426 nt
Filed under: Plasmodium ovale curtisi
Lineage: Eukaryota; Apicomplexa; Aconoidasida; Haemosporida; Plasmodiidae
Description: Bacterial large subunit ribosomal RNA
Rfam family: Bacterial large subunit ribosomal RNA
Source: Rfam by way of RNAcentral